CCCUACGGGGGGCAGCAGUGGGGGAUAUUGCACAAUGGGGGGAACCCUGAUGCAGCGACGCCGCGUGGGUGAAGAAGCGCCUCGGCGCGUAAAGCCCUGUCAGCAGGGAAGAAAAUGACGGUACCUGAAGAAGAAGCCCCGGCUAACUACGUGCCAGCAGCCGCGGUAAUACGUAGGGGGCAAGCGUUGUUCGGAAUGACUGGGCGUAAAGGGUGCGUAGGCGGUGUAGCAAGUUAGAAGUGAAAUACCUAGAGCUUAACUCAGGUGCUGCUUCUAAAACUGCUAUACUUGAGUGCAGUAGAGGA
Molecule: ribosomal RNA, 305 nt
Filed under: uncultured bacterium
Lineage: Bacteria
Description: bacterial SSU rRNA
Rfam family: Bacterial small subunit ribosomal RNA
Source: RNAcentral